AGCCAUCUCCCUGGCCCCAGUCUGGCACAAUUUGAGCUUGCUACAGCAAGAAAGUCUAACCUAUUCUAGCACUCUCCCCACUGUGAGAUAGGCUGUUAUAUAGACUGAAACAGU
RNAcentral lists this small nucleolar RNA (114 nucleotides) under Octodon degus (degu). Its description in RNAcentral is "Small nucleolar RNA SNORA28 (ENSODEG00000024142.1)". It matches the Rfam family "Small nucleolar RNA SNORA28". Rfam says of the family: ACA28 is a member of the H/ACA class of snoRNA that guide the sites of modification of uridines to pseudouridines. The record is from RNAcentral. Lineage: Eukaryota; Metazoa; Chordata; Mammalia; Rodentia; Octodontidae.